Molecule: long non-coding RNA, 778 nt
Organism: Zonotrichia leucophrys gambelii
Lineage: Eukaryota; Metazoa; Chordata; Aves; Passeriformes; Passerellidae
Exons: 4
Source: RefSeq, a predicted model, not a curated record
GCUGGUUAACCUCUCAUUGUGUAAGGAAUGCUGCUCACGUGAAUGGGAUAGGCCUUGAGCAGACCCCUAAUCCCACUGUUCUGCUGCUGAUGCACCUGCGUGUGAUGAGGAGGACUCCCAUAGCCUCUGUGAAUUUGGCUACAUCCCAACAGGACUGGUGCUGAUUCCAGUCACACUCAACAUUUUGCAGACUGAAAUCUGGCUUGGACUUUAAGAAGUGAAGAGUAAAAUUUUAUUAUAUUUAGUCAAAACCCAAUCUAGGGUGUGAUGCAGCUCUUGAUGCAAUUCUUGAUCAGCAGGCAGGUGGAAUAAGAUGCUGAUGAACUGCAGCAGAAAGGUCUGAGACCAAAACAGCACAAGUGUCUGUCAAGCUGGUGUAUGUGAAGGGCUCCUGUUCUGCAGAUGACAGCAGUGGAGAAACACCAUACAUGUUAUCUGACCCCAAGGGGAUUCCAAAAUACAGAACUGAGGCAGUGAAACAUUGGGCUGGACUGAGAAGAAGGUUAAUAUUGUACAAGGUGUUAUAUUGGUUAUUGCAUUUACGUAUGGGUCAGCUAUUUGAGCAGGAGGGGAGAAAUAGCAGUGCAAUCAAACCUGUGAAUGAAGGCUUCCAUCUUCCCUCCAGAGGCCAGCAGCACUGAAUGGGCACAGACACCCACACUGGCCCUGAGCUUAUCCACACCAAGAGGGCAGCUGGCUUCCAUGGGCCUGGGACAGGCAUGGAAGUAAGAACAUUAUUAAGUUCUUAGCUGAGAACCAAGUGGACACAAAGCAGAUU